This 64-nucleotide transfer RNA is filed under the name Xanthostigma gobicola. RNAcentral describes it as "tRNA-Asn". The record is from RNAcentral. Lineage: Eukaryota; Metazoa; Arthropoda; Insecta; Raphidioptera; Raphidiidae.
UUAAUUGAAACCAAAAAGAGGUAUAUUAUUGUUAAUAAUAUUAGUGAAAUUUUUUCCAAUUAAA